RNAcentral lists this unclassified non-coding RNA (246 nucleotides) under uncultured fungus. RNAcentral describes it as "partial contains 5.8S ribosomal RNA, internal transcribed spacer 2, and large subunit ribosomal RNA". The stretch from base 1 to 52 matches the Rfam family "5.8S ribosomal RNA", at positions 103 to 154 of the family's 154-position model. The record is from RNAcentral. Lineage: Eukaryota; Fungi.
AACGCACAUUGCGCCCCUCGGUAUUCCGGGGGGCAUGCCUGUUCGAGCGUCAUUACACCACUCAAGCCUCGCUUGGUCUUGGGCGUCCGCGGUUCCGCCGCGCGCCUCAAUGUCUCCGGCUGAGCCGUUCGUCUCGAAGCGUUGUGAUCCACAGUCCGCUUGCGAGGGCGACCGGCUUGUUCGCCGUUAAACCCCCCCAUUUUUCAGGUUGACCUCGGAUCAGGUAGGGAUACCCGCUGAACUUAA